Molecule: long non-coding RNA, 412 nt
Organism: Oncorhynchus keta (chum salmon)
Lineage: Eukaryota; Metazoa; Chordata; Actinopteri; Salmoniformes; Salmonidae
Exons: 3
Source: RefSeq, a predicted model, not a curated record
GUUUGUGUGUGUGUGUAACCUAUUCAAUUCCAGAUCUUCCGGCGGUAUGUUUACUAGGUACAGUAGUGGAGGACUGUAUGUUUACUUGGUACAGUAGUGGAGGACUGUAUGUUUACUAGGUACAGUAGUGGAGGACUGUAUGUUUACUAGGUACAGUAGUGGAGGACUGUAUGUUUACUAGGUACAGUAGUAGAGGACUGUAUGUUUACUAGGUACAGUAGUGGAGGACUGUAUGUUUACUAGGUACAGUAGUGGAGGACUGUAUGUUUACUAGGUACAGUAGUAGAGGACUGUAUGUUUACUAGGUACAGUAGUGGAGGACUGUAUGUUUACUAGGUACAGUAGUAGAGGACUGUAUGUUUACAUGGUACAGUAGUGGAGGACUGUAUGUUUACAUGGUACAGUAGUAGAG